UACGGAGGGUGCAAGCGUUAUCCGGAUUCACUGGGUUUAAAGGGUGUGUAGGCGGGUAUUUAAGUCAGUGGUGAAAUCUCCAGGCUCAACCUGGAAACUGCCAUUGAUACUAUUUAUCUUGAAUCCUGUUGAGGUGGGCGGAAUAUAUCAUGUAGCGGUGAAAUGCUUAGAUAUGAUAUAGAACACCGAUUGCGAAGGCAGCUCACUAAACAGGUAUUGACGCUGAGGCACGAAAGCGUGGGGGAUCAAACAGG
RNAcentral lists this ribosomal RNA (254 nucleotides) under uncultured bacterium. RNAcentral describes it as "partial 16S ribosomal RNA". It matches the Rfam family "Bacterial small subunit ribosomal RNA", at positions 524 to 776 of the family's 1533-position model. The record is from RNAcentral.